UCACAACCUCCUUGAGUG
RNAcentral lists this microRNA (18 nucleotides) under Drosophila ananassae. RNAcentral describes it as "miR-307-RA". RNAcentral also lists the same sequence under 6 other names. The record is from RNAcentral. Lineage: Eukaryota; Metazoa; Arthropoda; Insecta; Diptera; Drosophilidae.